RNAcentral lists this ribosomal RNA (460 nucleotides) under uncultured bacterium. RNAcentral describes it as "partial 16S ribosomal RNA". It matches the Rfam family "Bacterial small subunit ribosomal RNA", at positions 338 to 795 of the family's 1533-position model. The record is from RNAcentral.
CCUACGGGGGGCAGCAGUGAGGAAUAUUGGUCAAUGGGCGCGAGCCUGAACCAGCCAAGUAGCGUGAAGGAUGACUGCCCUACGGGUUGUAAACUUCUUUUAUAAAGGAAUAAAGUGAGGCACGUGUGCCUUUUUGUAUGUACUUUAUGAAUAAGGCUCGGCUAACUCCGUGCCAUCAGCCGCGGGAAUACGGAGGAUUCGAGCGUUAUCCGGAUUUAUUGGGUUUAAAGGGAGCGGAGAUGGGUUGGUAAGUCAGUUGUGAAAGUUUGCGACUCAACCGUAAAAUUGCAAUUGAUACUGGCAGUCUUGAGUACAGUUGAGGUAGGCGGAAUGCGUGGUGUAGCGGUGAAAUGCGUAGAUAUCAGGAGGAACAUCGGUGGCGUAAGCGCUUUACUGGGCCGUAAUUGACACUGAGGAACGAAAGCCGGGGUAGCAAAUGGGAUUAGAUACCCGUGUAGUC